AGCUCUCCGAGUGGUGUGGAUGUUUAUUGGGCCUAAAGCAUCCGUAGCUGGCUAAGUUAGUCCCUUGUUAAAUCCACCGAAUUAAUCGUUGGAUUGCGGGGGAUACUGCUUGGCUAGGGGACGAGAGAGGCAGACGGUAUUUCCGGGGUAGGGGUGAAAUCCUAUAAUCCCGGGAAGACCACCAGUGGCGAAGGCUGUCUGCUAGAACGCGCCCGGCGGUGAGGGAUGAAAGCUGGGGGAGCGAACC
RNAcentral lists this ribosomal RNA (247 nucleotides) under uncultured crenarchaeote. RNAcentral describes it as "partial 16S ribosomal RNA". It matches the Rfam family "Archaeal small subunit ribosomal RNA", at positions 478 to 725 of the family's 1478-position model. Lineage: Archaea; Thermoproteati; Thermoproteota. The record is from RNAcentral.